Molecule: long non-coding RNA, 1939 nt
Organism: Oreochromis niloticus (Nile tilapia)
Lineage: Eukaryota; Metazoa; Chordata; Actinopteri; Cichliformes; Cichlidae
Exons: 3
Source: RefSeq, a predicted model, not a curated record
GGAUACAAACAUGAAUUGUAAUUAGGAAUAAAAUGUGAAAAAAAAUUAAAGAAUAUAUCAGCAUCAAAAAAAGUUAUUGCUUGUGUUAUGAGAGCUUUCCUGCAUCUGUCCUUGUGGCAGUGGAGCUGAGCCAGUCUGUUAGAGAAGGUGCUCAGGAUCGGAUUGGAUUGAUGGAUAACAGCUUGUUCAGUGACCUCCUCUCCACCACAGCUUCAAAUGUGUCCAGUGUGGAGCCAAUCACAGAGCCAGCCUUUCUAAUCAGUUUAUUCAGUCUGUUUGGUAACCAACUCCAGUGCUGCUCCCCCAGCAGAGCACAGCAAAGUGCACUGCACUUGUCACAGAUGACUGACACCAUUUUGCUGCACACAUUAAAGGAUCUCGGCUUCCUUAAGAGUCUGUCUUGCUUUCUUUUGUUGUCUCUCUCUCUGUGUGUGUGUGUGUGUGUGUGUGUGAGUGAGUGAGAGAGAGAGAGAGAGCACAUCCCACACGGAGUAAAGCCCAAACUGAGACCUGACUUGUUUUGCCAAAGACCAAUCAUCCCGAUCUGCCUAAAGAGCAAGACUGUUACUUUGACAUGCCAAUCAUUUAAAAAAAUAAUGGAGGACUGUGUGAAGUAGAGGAACUUGAGCAUUUUUCCAAACAGCUGCAGAUGCUACAGUGUUAACAGCCUGAGAGGCAGCAGAGGCUAAAAGGCUGUAGAGGGUCAAUCUUGUUUCACAGGGCUAGUUUGUCUAUUCACAGUCAUAAAUAAAUGCUUUCUUCAGUCAUCUGUCUGUGUAAGGGCUCAGCCUUUACAACCAUUCAUCCACAUGACCAGGAGAGAUGUUAUCAUGCUCAGCAGAGCUUCAGGCGCUAACAGCAAGGAAAUGAAAAGAAGGGUUGUACACAGCACUGUGCACAAGUUUUACGCACAUGAAAAAAUACGCUUUAGGUGAAGACAAUUUUUUUUUUAAAUUACAGGAAAGAAUUUUUUUUCAGUGUUCUUUGUACAGAGUGCAAUAAACAGAAAGAACAUGAUAAAACAAAGAUACACUUGAUUGCAGUCAAGGGUCACUGCUCUGCAUUCUUGUUCUUGUCUUUUCAUACGACUUGCUUGCAUAAAGACACUUUCUGGUCAGACUCUACACAAGCGGCAGAUUUGUUCAUCAGGAUCCGAAACCGGUUUCUGCCACAAAGUCCGACCAGCUGCUGGAAGAUUUCCUGAAAGGGUGGUAAACCUGGUGUACUGUUCACCCUCUGCAGAAAGCUCUCACAGUCAACCAUCAGAUGUUUGUACAGCACAUCAGGAAGCACCUGCUUGUGUCUUCGAGAGAACUUAAUGUCUUUUGUGUAUUUUACACAUCAUAAUAUGUUUUAUCUGGAACUCUAAUGCAAUGAGACCAGUUGCAGGUUUCUUUGUAAUAAUACAAAAUAUAAUAUACAAUUUGGAAACUCCAAGUGCUUAUUGUUUAUACGUCGAUGCACGAUAGUGAAUCCGCAUGCAAUAUGCCGCCCAGUAUAAUAUCCAUCUUAUAUGAUUUGUGCAACAAUUUAUGACUGAAAUUUUGCAUUUACCAUAUCUGGUAUUUAUUAUGUAUGUAUUUAAUUACAAAACCUUACCAGAUAUACAUCAGGGUCUCAGGUAGUUGUGAGCUAGUGGAUGUGCUCUUGGGAAAAACACUGAAUCUCAUACUGCUGGGCUGAAUGAGGAGAACCACUGCAUCAUAACCAGUUAAAAAACAACAACUUCAUAAACUAUCCAUUUACAAAACUGAUAAUGAUGCGAACAAUUCUCUGAAAAUUCUCUGCAUUCUUUCGGUCCAUUGUCAUUGUAAAGAAAGCCUGUGGCUGGGCUCCUAGGCGUGGUAUGUAAGGCCAUGGGUAAAGUAAGAACUGACAAUUAUUCAGAUUUGCUCUGGCUUCGAUUAAAUGAAUAGUUCUGAAAAAAGUCUUACUUUAA